UUGCUUCAGCAGCACAUACACUAAACUUGGAACGAUACAGAGAAGAUUAACAUGGCCCCUGCGCAAGGAUGACACGCAAAAAUGUGACGCGUUCCAUAUUUUC
This 103-nucleotide small nuclear RNA is filed under the name Jaculus jaculus (lesser Egyptian jerboa). Lineage: Eukaryota; Metazoa; Chordata; Mammalia; Rodentia; Dipodidae. The record is from RNAcentral.